UACAGAGGGGGCAAGCGUUAUUCGGAAUUAUUGGGCGUAAAGAGCUCGUAGGCGGUCUGUCGCGUCUGCUGUGAAAACUCGGGGCUUAACCCCGGGCCUGCAGUGGGUACGGGCAGACUAGAGUGCGGUAGGGGAGACUGGAAUUCCUGGUGUAGCGGUGAAAUGCGCAGAUAUCAGGAGGAACACCGGUGGCGAAGGCGGGUCUCUGGGCCGUAACUGACGCUGAGGAGCGAAAGCAUGGGGAGCGAACAGG
Molecule: ribosomal RNA, 253 nt
Filed under: uncultured bacterium
Lineage: Bacteria
Description: partial 16S ribosomal RNA
Rfam family: Bacterial small subunit ribosomal RNA
Source: RNAcentral